Molecule: transfer-messenger RNA, 386 nt
Filed under: Eubacteriales Family XIII. Incertae Sedis bacterium
Lineage: Bacteria; Bacillati; Bacillota; Clostridia; Peptostreptococcales; Anaerovoracaceae
Rfam family: transfer-messenger RNA
About the family: Bacterial tmRNA, also known as 10Sa RNA or SsrA, is named for its dual tRNA and mRNA-like properties.
Source: RNAcentral
GGGAGUGCAAGGUUUCGACGUUAUAAAGGAGUAAUAUUAUCAAGCCAGUCAGUAACUGACGAUAAAUAGUGCAAACAAGUAACCGACAACGAUUACGAAAAUGAUUAUGACUACGACGAUUGCGAAGUAGAAUACAGCAUGACUGCAUAAUCCGCUCUGUGAAUAAUGAUUGUAAAAUCACAAUAGAGUGUCGCUAAACAAUCUGUGUUUGGAAAUGAUUUGGACACCGAAAUCAUAACCCGUAUUAAUAAUUAACAGGUGUUAGUGGUCUUAAAAAGGAAUUUCUGUUGCAGAAAUAAACACGGUAAGAUUAGCAACAAAAAGCUUGUACAAAAUGAUAUUAGGAAAAUAUAGCGGACGGGGUUUCAAUACCCCCACUUCCAUUU